UACUAUGGCCAUGCCACUCUGAACAAGCUCAAUUCCAUCUGAUCUUGGAAGCUAAGCAGGGUCAGGCCUGGUUAGUACUUGCAUGGGAGACCACCUAGCAAGACCAGGUGCUGUAGGCA
This is a non-coding RNA of Pteropus alecto (black flying fox), 119 nucleotides long. The record is from Rfam. NCBI's taxonomy places the organism in Eukaryota, Metazoa, Chordata, Mammalia, Chiroptera, Pteropodidae.